UACGUAGGGUGCAAGCGUUGCCCGGAUUUAUUGGGCGUAAAGGGCGCGUAGGCGGCUCGGCACGUCCGUUGUGAAAUCGCCCGGCUCAACUGGGCGGGGUCAGCGGAUACGGCGUGGCUGGAGCAAGCUAGGGGGCAAUGGAAUUCCCGGUGUAGUGGUGGAAUGCGCAGAUAUCGGGAAGAACACCCGUGGCGAAGGCGGCUCUCUGGAACGGUACUGACGCUGAGACGCGAAAGCGUGGGGAGCGAACAGG
This 253-nucleotide ribosomal RNA is filed under the name uncultured bacterium. RNAcentral describes it as "partial 16S ribosomal RNA". It matches the Rfam family "Bacterial small subunit ribosomal RNA", at positions 524 to 776 of the family's 1533-position model. The record is from RNAcentral.